Molecule: ribosomal RNA, 301 nt
Filed under: uncultured bacterium
Lineage: Bacteria
Description: partial 16S ribosomal RNA
Rfam family: Bacterial small subunit ribosomal RNA
Source: RNAcentral
CAGCAGCCGCGGUAAUACGAAGGGGGCUAGCGUUGUUCGGAAUUACUGGGCGUAAAGGGCGCGUAGGCGGCCAUUCAAGUUAGAUGUGAAGGCCCUGGGCUCAACCUAGGAAUUGCAUUUGAUACUGUUUGGCUUGAGUUCGGGAGAGGUGAGUGGAAUUCCCAGUGUAGAGGUGAAAUUCGUAGAUAUUGGGAAGAACACCAGUGGCGAAGGCGGCUCACUGGACCGACACUGACGCUGAGGCGCGAAAGCGUGGGGAGCAAACAGGAUUAGAUACCCCAGUAGUCCCUGUCUCUUAUAC